UGCUUGCUUUCAUUGCCCCUGUGCAGC
Molecule: non-coding RNA, 27 nt
Filed under: Mus musculus (house mouse)
Lineage: Eukaryota; Metazoa; Chordata; Mammalia; Rodentia; Muridae
Source: RNAcentral